This is a non-coding RNA of Trichobilharzia regenti, 48 nucleotides long. The record is from Rfam. NCBI's taxonomy places the organism in Eukaryota, Metazoa, Platyhelminthes, Trematoda, Strigeidida, Schistosomatidae.
AGCAAGCUGACGAGUCCCAAAUAGGACGAAAUGCGCGUUAUCCUGGAU